UAGCUAAUCCUGGUCGGACAUCAGGAGGUUAGUGCAAUGGCAUAAGCUAGCUUGACUGCGAGCGUGACGGCGCGAGCAGGUGCGAAAGCAGGUCAUAGUGAUCCGGUGGUUCUGAAUGGAAGGGCCAUCGCUCAACGGAUAAAAGGUACUCCGGGGAUAACAGGCUGAUACCGCCCAAGAGUUCAUAUCGACGGCGGUGUUUGGCACCUCGAUGUCGGCUCAUCACAUCCUGGGGCUGAAGUAGGUCCCAAGGGUAUGGCUGUUCGCCAUUUAAAGUGGUACGCGAGCUGGGUUUAGAACGUCGUGAGACAGUUCGGUCCCUAUCUGCCGUGGGCGCUGGAGAAUUGAGGGGGGCUGCUCCUAGUACGAGAGGACCGGAGUGGACGCAUCACUGGUGUUCGGGUUGUCAUGCCAAUGGCACUGCCCGGUAGCUAAAUGCGGAAGAG
This 446-nucleotide ribosomal RNA is filed under the name Klebsiella pneumoniae. Its description in RNAcentral is "partial 23S ribosomal RNA". It matches the Rfam family "Bacterial large subunit ribosomal RNA", at positions 2318 to 2763 of the family's 2925-position model. The record is from RNAcentral. Lineage: Bacteria; Pseudomonadati; Pseudomonadota; Gammaproteobacteria; Enterobacterales; Enterobacteriaceae. RNAcentral also lists the same sequence under 1 other name.